Molecule: small nuclear RNA, 326 nt
Filed under: Myotis davidii
Lineage: Eukaryota; Metazoa; Chordata; Mammalia; Chiroptera; Vespertilionidae
Description: 7SK RNA
Rfam family: 7SK RNA
About the family: 7SK was discovered as an abundant small nuclear RNA in the mid-70s but a possible function has only recently been suggested.
Source: Rfam by way of RNAcentral
GGAUGUGAGUGAGAGUGGUCUGGCUGUGACAUCUGUUUGACUUUCAGGGUUGACUCAGUUGAUCUGGUAGGCUAGGGAGGUGACCCCUACCUCCCUCACAGUUCCAUGAGCAUCCAUGCCAAAGCUGCAUGCUUGAAAAGGACAACCAUCCCCAAUAGAGGAGGACUGUUCUUCAAUCAAGGGCAUACAAGUGUCUGUGCUCCCGUUAGACCCUCUAUACAAGCUCUCAUAUUGGGGUACCAACCUCAAAGACGGCCCUAAAUGACACCUCCCUCUUGAUAUUUAUGUCCUCAUGCAUUCACCUCCUAAAUUGUAUGAGGGUUGCU